UGGGGAAUUUUGGACAAUGGGCGAAAGCCUGAUCCAGCAAUGCCGCGUGUGUGAAGAAGGCCUUCGGGUUGUAAAGCACUUUUGUCCGGAAAGAAAUCCUUGGCUCUAAUACAGUCGGGGGAUGACGGUACCGGAAGAAUAAGCACCGGCUAACUACGUGCCAGCAGCCGCGGUAAUACGUAGGGUGCAAGCGUUAAUCGGAAUUACUGGGCGUAAAGCGUGCGCAGGCGGUUUGCUAAGACCGAUGUGAAAUCCCCGGGCUCAACCUGGGAACUGCAUUGGUGACUGGCAGGCUAGAGUAUGGCAGAGGGGGGUAGAAUUCCACGUGUAGCAGUGAAAUGCGUAGAGAUGUGGAGGAAUACCGAUGGCGAAGGCAGCCCCCUGGGCAAGUACUGACGCUCAUGCACGAAAAGCGUGGGGGAGCAAAACAGGAUUAGAUACCCUGGUAGUCCACGCCCUAAAACGAUGUCAACUAGUUGUUGGGGAUUCAUUUCCUUAGUAACGUAGCUAACGCGUGAAGUUGACCGCCUGGGGAGUACGGUCGCAAGAUUAAAACUUAAAUGAAUUGAC
Molecule: ribosomal RNA, 570 nt
Filed under: uncultured bacterium
Lineage: Bacteria
Description: partial 16S ribosomal RNA
Rfam family: Bacterial small subunit ribosomal RNA
Source: RNAcentral